This is a non-coding RNA of Pelobates cultripes (western spadefoot toad), 358 nucleotides long. Lineage: Eukaryota; Metazoa; Chordata; Amphibia; Anura; Pelobatidae. The record is from the annotation of a GenBank genome assembly.
CUCACAUCGUCUAGCCGGUGUUUAAAUACUAUGGCUGUUAAUGUCAGUAACGAAUCUGGUAGCUACAGAUACAAGAAAUAGUCAGCAAUUCGGGCUAUUUCACUGUAACCUCCUUCUGCUGAAAUUAUAGAUCGCUAUCACAAUUAGGAAAUGUUGCACACAGUUCUCACCAUAAAGGAUUUCAGGACUUACAAUAAUGUAUUUCUCAUACAUCAAAUAUUUUGAUAGCGUGGUCAAUUUAUUACAAUAUAACCCUGCUCUCAGUGGCUUAUUUUCCACUUAGAAUUGUAUUCCAACUAUACCUGUCAGCAUUAAACUGCAGUAGACAUUGUCAAAUCUUCAAAUAAAACGAUUUCUG